This 2438-nucleotide long non-coding RNA is filed under the name Malus domestica (apple). Its description in RNAcentral is "long non-coding RNA (MDOM_LNC015102)". Lineage: Eukaryota; Viridiplantae; Streptophyta; Magnoliopsida; Rosales; Rosaceae. The record is from RNAcentral.
UUGGUGAAGUAAAUAUUCAAAUUAUAAUUUACUAAUGCGUGUCAUGUAACUGUAAAUUUUCAUGCAUUCCUGCGGACAAAAACGUGUAUGUCAUGCAAAUGCAAUGUAAUAUUACACAAGUGCAUGCAUGUAUGUACUACAAUGGUGGCAGGAUUCCUUCAAUAUUAAAACUGUACUGUUGGGUAGGUAGGACAUAGCUUCUUUGAUCGUUUGAUGAGUGCAUUGAGCAAGUAGGUAGCUUAUGGAGUUGCUGCUUCCUUGGGUUAGGGCAUCAAAGACCAGACAACGCCAAGUUCUCCAAGUGGGUUGAAUUGAAACUUGAAGGGAGCCCUGCGGAGAAUUAGGAGAAUAACUUAUAUUGAACGAGUUCACCGUCACGUAGUGUUUUUUGUUUAAUAAUAUAAUAUCAAGUACAAAUUUUUUUUUCACAUAAUAAUAUAUUAAAUUGGAUUGUAAUACUAUACAAUAGUGAACUCAUUCCAUAUAAGUUGCACUCAAAAUUAAGCUACUAGUAGAGCCCAUUCAUAAUGUUGGGGAGGGAGAAUGUUCCGUGGGCUCCACUACAAAAGCGAUGAGACGCAUACCAACGGAACCACAUUAAGGGCUACCUUGGGCUGUAGCCCAGGUAGUUUUCGGUAGGAAAUAAAAUUUUACAUGUAAUUUUUAUUGAUUUGCGAAUGUAGCCCACCAUAUAUUUUGUCACUAAUGCGAAUUCUCUCAAUUUAAUUAUAUGAUAUAGUUUACAAACCAUCUUUUUUUCUCAUAUCUUUUUUCUCAUCACUUCUUGUACAUGUACAAGUUUGAAGUUGUUUGAAUAACAAAAAUUAUUGGCUCAUCUUAUGAAAAUUUUCUUAAGCUAGUUGAUACUGUAAAAAAUAUAAUAUCAAGUUUCUUUGUUAAUAAAGAUUUAAAAUAUAAUAUCAAGUUUCUUUAUUAAUAAAGAUUUAAAUCUUUAAGUUAGCAUAUCCGGUAAAAAAUUUCUAGCUCUGUCAUUGAAGACACAGCUUUGCUGCACCAAAAGAAAACCCCCCAUUUUCCAACCUCCCCGAGUCCUGCCGUCUCCCCGCUAGUGACUCAACCACUUACUCCUUUCUUUUCUUUUCUUUUCUUUUUCCCAUUUCUUUUAUUUAUUUAAAGAUAUAAUUAGGUUUAACUUGAAAAAGAUAUGAGGAAAAAGAAUUGUAAAUUGGUGGCUGACAUCAAAUAUUCCCUCUAAAGAAGCCAUAUUUGAACAUUUUUAAAAUAAUGAAGGUAAAUUUAUGAUGGUGGUGUCGAAGUGGAUCCCACCCACUCCCCAGGAGGAUGAGGCAAUGCUGAUUAAUGCUCAAGCGGAUGGAAUUCUAUAAAGAAUCAAAGUAGAACUAAAAUAUCUAAAUAUAAUUUAAAUUACAGUUUAAUAAUAUUUUUUUACAUUUAUAAGUCGAAGAUUUCAAAUUUAACUAAUUUAAUUAUGUUAAUGAGUUAAAUACUUAAUUAGUGUGUUAACUUACUGUGUGGCUUAUCUCAAACUAUGCGCACUUUAAAAUAGAAUAAGAUAAUGUGUCACUAACUCUUUUUAUUAAAUUUUCCAAAUAUAGAGUGCCAAUGCAUUGGAGGAGCAAACAUUAAACUCAAACUUCAUAUUUGAGUUUUAACAAUUUGGUUAUGUGCAUUGCAUUGGACUCAAAACUCAAAUCUCAUUUUUCUAGAUUGAAUAACAUUUUUACUGGUUAGCAUGUGUUUCACCUUGCGCUCAAAUCUCAUAUUGAAAUCCAAAUUUGAGUCUCACUUUGCCUUCAUACUCAAAUAUAAGUUUUAAGUCUCACGUGUAUUUGGAGAUGUUUUGCCUUCUAUUUAGACUCAAAUAUCAAAUAUCUCGUAUAAUAUGACAUUAUUUCAUAGGAAAAUUCUUCGUUGCUACGUAGUAUUAAAUGCUAAGGGCAUUGGAUGACCGGAAUUGUUUUUUUAGUUUUAAACAACGAUAUUAUCGAAACUAAAGUGUGGAGAAGGGGCUAAUGUAGUAUCCCACAUCAGUGGGGUGAGGGUUGGUUCCUAGCCUUAUAUGUACUUGCCCCUCUCUUCCUAGCAUGACAUGUCUUGGGUAGUGAGGUUCUCUUGCCUAGGAACAAAUCCAUGAGGGCGUGGCCCAAAGCGGACAAUAUUGUGCUACGGCGGAGUCGGGAUGUGACAGCUAAGCAUCAUAAUGGGCUAGUAAUAAUGUGAUUCAAAUUCGCAUUUGACGAGAAUCAAAAUUAAGAUAUCUCACUUACAAAUGAUGAGAAAACUCUAUUAGAUUAUUGCUUUUUAUUAGUCUUCUGAUUUUAAGUCAUCCAAUAUUUGCAUCAUUUAAGGCUAUAUAGCACCAAAGUGAAACUCUAUUUCAUUAUAAUUUUAUGUUUAUUAUUAAUAUGGUAAAUAAGACAGCCAAAAUUGACGCUGACAUGGUCCGUCUAUCUUGG